Molecule: long non-coding RNA, 852 nt
Organism: Ctenocephalides felis (cat flea)
Lineage: Eukaryota; Metazoa; Arthropoda; Insecta; Siphonaptera; Pulicidae
Exons: 4
Source: RefSeq, a predicted model, not a curated record
AAAAUUAUAUCAAAUAUAUGAUUGAUGAAUUAUGUAAAGGUACACCAUCUUGUACUUUUUAACCGUCUUAACAAACUUAUAGUAAACAGAAAAACGAGGACGAUGAAUAGAAGCUCACAUCUUUGAUGGUUUGGACUCCAGUUGCAAGUAUACAAACUUUGAAGGAAGAUAAUUGCUCAGGAAGUUAACAGACUUAUUUUUGUACUUCGGGGACAGUGAGAUAUAUAUUAAUGGAAGAAUGUAUUUAGACGGAGUAUGACACUUUUAUUAAAGGUUACAAUUACCUUAAACAGUACCAAGUCUAAAUUUCCAAAUGAUAUGAUCUUUAAAAAUAUAAAUAUAGGAAUGUUUCGGAAAUCAUAUUGUUUAUUUAUUCCUCUUUACUGCCAAAGAACAAGCAGGUAACAAUUAAAAUAUGUUAACAAAUAAGUAUUUCAAGUAAAUGACAGCAAAUUGAUGAAUAAAUAUGAAAUGAUGUGUGGAAUGCAAAUUGUUGAAUAACGGUUUAUGAUAGAACUUGGAUUUGAUAACUAAUAUGGCAAUAAUUUACUCAAUGUUGAACUUACAUAGAUCUGAUCUCAUCUGAUCUCGUCAGAGAUUCUGAGACUGUAUAGCGAUGUGGCUAUCCAGAUUUUUUACGAACCCUAAACAAUUCUGAUCCUGAGUUCUGAAUCUUACAAUGGACAGCCUCCAACAUGAUUUUAGAAUACUACUAACUGGACUUCUUACAGUUUCUCACAGACUUCAUGCACAUUUUGUCUGUUUACACAAACACCUUUUGAUAAAAUCAAUUUAAAACGAUUUGGUGACGUGUAUCAAAUGCUAUGAAGGACUAAUAAGGAAUAUAAAAUA